GCUCCUUGAAGGUUAACAUUCGCUGAAGGAAUUGCGGGGAGGAGAGCUUCGUGUUGAAGUUGAGUCUUGGGCUCAACACGUGCUGUGGGAGGAUGAGCGGGUGUGGGUCCCAACUUGACCCUUCACACUGGAUGCUUGACUUCUCCAAGCCUCGGUUUCCUCAUCUGUGAUAGGAAGGUCCCGAUUCCCAAUUGACAGGACAAUUGGGCUGCUGCUGCUGCUCAGGGGAGGUCUUGGCAGUGAAAGGAUUUACUUGGAACGAUUGGCGUUGCCUGAGGGCUGUCGCUCUCCGAGGAAACUCCAAAACGGGUUCUAAACGGGUUCUGAAGCAGCUCCUGACGAAAGUGUUGAAGAGGCGAGAUGAAGCGGACGCUUGGUGCAUGGCAGAGGGGUGUGGUGCAGGAGCGUGGCCAUGGCAGGGUCAGAGAAUGGCUGUAGGAGACACCGACCUCUCUUGGAAACUCCCGGGUCUGAAUUUCCUCUCGGAAAUUUCCCGGAAAUUCCUCUGGGCCUCAGUCUUUCAAUCGCUGCCUAUGAAAGCUUCCUCUGAGCAGAGAUGCUCUCACUUCGGAACAGAGAAAGCUCAGCACUUAAACAGUCUCCGAUUUUGUGCUACUUUGAUCAUUUUGUAGUGCAGUGUUUUCUUGACUGAGUGCGUCAGGAGUGAAGCGUUUUAGCUUCACUGAACUUGACAAGCAGGUUAAAACCUGAGAGGUGUUCUUAUUGCCAGUGGCAGAGAUUCCUGUCUCCUCUCACCCCUCCCAACUGCCUAGGCGGCCUCCCUACACCCAGCCUCUCUUCCUCCACAGACUGCCAGGUGCCACCCCUGUGCCUUGUGCAGCGGGCAGAGCUGGGCCGUGAAAGCUGUCACUAGCCCACCAGUGGGACUUGGGAGACUUCCUCUCUGCGCAGUCUAGGUCUCAGCCGUUUUCAUUUCUGACCUGGGUGGGCGGAGAGGUAGGAAUCUGGAGCGCUGAUCUGGAGCGCUGAUCUUGAUGGUUCAUUCAUUCAAAGGCUCCCUUGGUGGAGCUUGCACUUCCCCUCCAUUCAUUAUGUAGACGACAGAUUUACAUAGAGUACAUCUGGCUUUACUUUUAAGAGGCUUUCUCUUUCUUCUCACUAAACAACAUAACCCAACAGUAUGGAGGGGAUUUGCCCUCAUCCCAGAUCUGUGAGGCCGUCUUUGUAUUUGAAUAUUGGUUCUGCUAUUUACUAGCUGGGUGGGGGUAAGUGACUUAUUCCCUUUCUGCCUCUCCCUCAUCUGUACUGACCUGCACUUUGUUACAUCUAUAUUUGAAGAUGGUUUUUCUAUUCUUGUUUGACAAAUUUAGCAGCUUAAACCAGUACCCGUUUAUUAUAUCAUAGUUACGUAGUCUGAAGUCCAGGCAGGCCUGGCUGUGCAUCACAAGGCUGGAAUCAAGGUGUUGGCAGCUUUGCUCUUACCUGGAAGCUCUAGGGAAGAAGCUGCUUCCAGGCUUAUUUAGGUGGCUGGCAGAAUCCAGUUGCUUGGAGUUGUAGAACUAAGGUCUCUGUUUCCUUGCUGGCUGGGGACGGCUGUGUAACUUAAGGUCCACUAACUUAGGACUCUAAGUGUAUCUGCAGAAUGCCUUCACAACAGUACCCAGAUGAGUAUUUGACUGAAGAACCAGGGGACAGGAAUCUUGGGCGGCUAUCUUUAGAAUUCUGCCUACCACUGAAGAUGAAAUGAGGAAAUAUAUGGAGAGUCCUUAGAGCUCUCCUGCUCCUUAGAGCAGAGUAUGUCCUGGCGUACAGCAAGUGCCGUACAAGCAUUACCAAGGAUUCAUCACCACAAACUUGGCUCUGAAGCUGCUCACUGUGGACUACAUGAAAAUGGUGUUUCUAUAAAACAUGGGAACUGCUAGUCAGUGGCCACUUUCGACUCUCCACUGGAGGCUGCUACAGCGUUUCCUCACCUGCAGCAGCCCAGCUUUCUACUGAUUUUCUCUAUCAAGAGGUCUCCAGCCUGGGGCAGUGGCACGUGCCUGUAGUCUCAGCUCCUCAGGAGUCUGAGGCAGGACGAUCCCUUCAGUCAAAGAGUUCAAGGCCAGCCUGGGCAACAUGGUGUCCCCAUCGUGAAGCAACACAUAACAGUAUACUUCAAUAUGUAUUAUAGCAAAUACCAUCACUACAGACAUCUGGUCAAAGCCAAGGUUCGCCUAUUGAGAGAGCAACUGAUGGGCACACUCCAGUGUGCUGCUUAGCGCCAGCUGUAGCCCAUGUGCAGGAUAACGUGUGCAUGAGAGUUACACAAAUCCAAGCGCCUUUGUUGUGGUGUGGAGAAAAGUGUCAUAAUUUUAUGUUUAUCUUACCUUCUCAACUCUCUCUGGGGGUACUUUGCAAAUAAUUGAGUCCAAACAGAAGUACUAAAUGACUUAUGAACUCUAUGCUUAGUAAAUAUAUUAAACCUGAAUAACUUAAAAUGUGCAUUUUUAAUAGAAAAUUUGAUUUUAAUUUAGAAUUGUGUCUUUUAGUGUAAUU
Piliocolobus tephrosceles (Ugandan red Colobus) is the source of this 2499-nucleotide long non-coding RNA. RefSeq lists it as uncharacterized. The record is from RefSeq and is a predicted model, not a curated record. NCBI's taxonomy places the organism in Eukaryota, Metazoa, Chordata, Mammalia, Primates, Cercopithecidae. The transcript is spliced from 5 exons.